RNAcentral lists this long non-coding RNA (824 nucleotides) under Helianthus annuus (common sunflower). The record is from RNAcentral. Lineage: Eukaryota; Viridiplantae; Streptophyta; Magnoliopsida; Asterales; Asteraceae.
AUGUAUAUCAAUAUUAUGGGUAAUGAUAUGAUUUGUGCGAGUCAUGCUAAUGAAGGUUGUUAUUGGUCAAUAUUAAUGCACCAUCAGGUAUGAACUUCUGAAGAAUUUGAUUGUUUCUUUCUUUAAAAAUUGGAACCAAUGAUAAUUUUUGAUAUUUAUUGUGUCAAGUGACUCAAAUAGGAUUACAUAAAUGACAUCGAGGUAAAAAAUGAACAGGUACAAAUAUAUAAUUUAUUAAAUUGUUAAAAAACUAUCUUUAUAAAUAUUGAUAUAACCUCUUUAUAUAUACUCCUCAUUUUCAGUUUGCUAAUUUGUUAGUAUUUCUUGAUGAACUCAAUUGUUGUUGGACAAAAAGUUAUCGUUCAAGAAGAAUUCAGAAUCAUAUCACAUACGCAUUCUUUUCCAAUAUCUUUUGCAAAUAGAAUGGGAAGGCUGGAAUAAUAGCUUAUGGAAAUGAGCUCAGUAAGUUAGUGAUACACCUGGGGAAAAGCAUGGGAUGAACCAGGCCAUUCUAAUGGUGGAGAUAUACUUCAUUUAAGCAUGGAUGUUUUAAAGGAGAAUGUAAUCGGUAUUGAUGGUCUGGACUUGAUCCUUAAGACCGAACAAAUCUCCUUGAAGUUCUGCAAGUAAUCAUGAAUUCGGAAACGCCAUGACUGUUGAUGAUUCAGGACAACUCCUGUUAGGUCCGAUCCAUAUUCAUUCGGAUCCGUGUCCAACUGAAAUUAAAUAGGUAUUUUGUAGAGAAUUAAUAGUAUUGCAAUUUUUAUUACUUAUUGCUAUAUUGAAGUAAAUGCCCUAAGUAAUUCAAUUUCUGUUUUUUUUCU